CAGCCGUAAACAAUGUGCGUUAGGUGUGUCGGUAACCACGUGUUACUGAUGCGCCGAAGAGAAAUCGUGAAACGCACCACCUGGGAAGUACGGUCGCAAGGCUGAAACUUAAAGGAAUUGGCGGGGGAGCACCACAACAGGUGGAGCCUGCGGUUUAAUUGGAACUCAACGCCGGAAAUCUCACCGGAUAGGACAGACAUAUGAUAGUCGGGCUGAAGACUCUACUUGAUGAUCUGAGAGGAGGUGCAUGGCGUCAGUGACU
This 262-nucleotide ribosomal RNA is filed under the name uncultured archaeon. RNAcentral describes it as "partial 16S ribosomal RNA". It matches the Rfam family "Archaeal small subunit ribosomal RNA", at positions 748 to 1008 of the family's 1478-position model. The record is from RNAcentral.